This 3579-nucleotide long non-coding RNA is filed under the name Medicago truncatula (barrel medic). RNAcentral describes it as "long non-coding RNA (MTRU_LNC005826)". The record is from RNAcentral. Lineage: Eukaryota; Viridiplantae; Streptophyta; Magnoliopsida; Fabales; Fabaceae.
AUGAUGGAAGAUUCUUCUCGUUCUCAGGUGGUUGGGCCUGGUCUUGGGUUUGGGCUUGGACCUGGACUUCAAAAAUUAGCUGGAGGCGUUCACGGAGGCAAGAGGCGCAAACACCGACGGUGCUUGUAAGAUCCGGUAAGUGUUUCUUACACCUCAUUUCUUCUUCUUCUUCCUUCUGGUGUGUGUUUCUCUAUACGACACCGUUUUGGUUUUAUAUUGUGGUUGCGUUCUUAAUGAUUGUGUUGUGUUACCAACUAUAAGAAAGGAUCUGAAUUUGAUGGAGAAUUCUAAGAGAAGGUUUUGUCCUUUUGUUGGAUUAUUAAGUUGAUAAUUUCAAUAAACCAAUAAAUGAAUAAGAAGAUUAUAAGGAUUUAGAUUUUGAGGAAGAGAUUAAGAAGAGGUCAAUGUUGGUUAAUUGUUGGGGUUAAGGAUAAAGAUGGAGAACCAGGUUUGUUAAUGUUAACAAGUUGGUUAAGAGAAGAUUAUGUGCUGGAUUACAACGUCCUUUGAGGUGUGUUUUAUUGUGGUCCAAUAGUUUUGUAUAAUUGGUUAAUUAAUCUACCUUUUUUAGGCAAACAUUAAUGAAUCUACCUAAAAAUAAUAUUAAUAUUUUUUUUUACCAUUAAAAACCAUAAUCAGUUAGUUAAUGUAAAAAAAUGAAAUCAGUUCAUCAUUAAAUUUAAAAGAUAUUUUAAGGGAACUUUGUUACCCAUUGUGGUCUUAUCUUGUUGGUACGGUCCCAUUUGAUUUGAGUAUUAAACAAGUCUUUGAAUUACGAGCGGAAGUUCACACUAAAGGAGCGCGCUUUUUAACUUCAUUUUCAUUUGUUAAAAUUAAUAUAAGUGCCACCAAAUUCAUGUGAGAUUCGCGUAAUUUUACAAGACUCAAAUAAAUUUCAAUCAAUGUCAAACGAAUUUCAAUCUAUGCAUAAUUUUACGGGAUUCAAAUGAAAUUCGAUCAAUAGAUGAGAAUGUUAUAGAAAAUGUAUAUUAAGAGUUGUAAAAAAAUUAGUAUAUUUUUUUGAAGGAAAAAAAAUUGUAUAUUAAAGAGUGUGUUUUCAUAAUUAUUCAAUUUAAAAAUACUUUUUUUUUAAUCAAAAUAGGAAGGAAUUAAAUUAAAAACCAAAGGAAAUAUAAGAUUGGGGGCAAUGACCUGACCAGUAAACCACAAAAUCAAAACCCUAACAGAUGACACAAUAAUACAGGACAAAGUGGUAUAAUACAUCCAACGCUAAACCAUCACUACCACAGAUAAUCCAACGAACCCACGUGUGAGUACGAAACCGAAUUGAAAAUCCCACGUGUGAGCACGAAACCGAAUUGAAAAAAAAAACAGAGUGACAAAAAGAUAAUUCUUUUUGCAGGCAAAAACAAAAGGUAUGAUUAAUUGCUUAAAAAAUAAUAAUUAUGGAGCAUAAAUUUGGACCAAAUACAUAUUGUUUUUGACAAAUUUUUCUUUUUUAUAUAUUUUGUUACGGAUGGAAUAACCGAAGAAAUAAUAUGUUGAUGCCAGCUAUUGUGUUAAUUUAAAAUCAUUUGUUAUUUUCCUUUUCCUUUUUCGACAAUAUCAUCUGUUUAAUGAAAACAGCAAGAGUAAAGAAAUGUACAACCUCGUUUACCCAUGAGUAAUUUUUUUUUUUUUUUUUGGUUGAUAUAGGUAAAUUAUUUUAAUUAACAAGAGAAGAAAAAGAUAUAAUGAUUUAAAUACAAAUUAAAAUAUUGAAAAAGUAAUGAUUUGUGGGGGUGCUGACUUUUCAAGUAUACUAUAUUUUUUGAAGGAAAAGUAUACUAUAUUGAAAAGUAAUGAUUUGUAGAUAAGAUAGUAUAAUGAUUAAUUGAAGUUAAUGUUUUUUUUGACCAAGUUAACAUCUUUUUUGACAAGAUGUUAGUGUUUUCUCUAGUAAGGUGUCUUGCUUUAUCGCGGGUUUAUUGAUUAUAUUAGUCGGUUCCUCCUUUUUUAGUGACAAUUUGUGCUGUUCUUCUCUUCUAAUGAUUUUUUUUAAAGAUUUUAAAUAACUUUUAUUAAAUAGACCUUUUUGUUACAAUUUAAGCAAAGACUUUGAUUCCAAGUCUAUUUAUGUAUUUAUGGAUGGAUGAUGUGUUAGAUUAGGAACCAGAUUCUUGCUGUCACUAACCAGAUGUAUGUAGUUAAAAGAUCUGUGACCGUCUGAUUGAGACCAAACUAUUCAAAUCUCAAACUCCUGAUUAAUUUUAGAGCUUAAGAUUUAGACCUUUUGAUCUUGAUUUGGAUGAUCAUAAAUCUCUUGAUCGUGUGAGUGAAUGCGGUCGGUGAUUGCAAGGAAUUCAAAUUCUUUCAUCUAAUGUUUGUUUACUCGUUGACAACAGAUUAAGGUUCUUUUUAAGAAGCAAAAGAUACAUUUCAAUAAAGUAAAUUGCAUCCCAAAGCACAAGUUAUGAUGAUCGGAUGCUGGAAAAAACAGUACAAAAUCCUCCGACGAUCAACCUCAACAAGAAUAAAAACAAGAAAAACCUAGAUAUGUAAAGAUUAAUCUAGCGUGAAAGUGCUAUUACCCAUUUGCCACAUAGGAAAACCUCACCCGGACCUCCAAUAUCGAAAUAAGAAGCUACCAGGCCUCCAAUAUAGCUCAAAUAAUACCUGAGCUGAUCAAACUACACUGACACACUUUGAGAAUCCUCUGCCCUACCUAGCAAACCUUCAAACUGCUCUAGAUGUAACAUUCCUUCCUUUUGAAAGGCCGUAGAAAUCCUAAACCAACUACAUAUAUUGUACCAUGAACCUGCCAAAAGACAACAAAUUAAGGUUACUUAGUGUGGAUGUGUGGUGUGGGAGUUGCUUUCUCUUUAUUUUACGAUAUAUGCUCUCUCUAGUUUCAAAUAUAAGCAACAAAACUUUAUAUUUUAUUUUUUAACACACACGCACACGCAAUAACAAGCUUUUAUACGAGGUUAUAUUUUAAAACUUCAAAUUAAUUGAAUCUUCCAUGUUUGAUUCCAGUGAGAUAUUUGCAAAACAGACUGAACUGUGUAUCAUGCAUUUUCUCCUGCAUCAUUUUUUGAAUAUUGGUUUCUUCUGCAAUUCUUUUCUAUAUAAACAUCAAUGCUUAAAAAUAUCCAUGUAUCAAUUCAACUAUGGAAAGCCUACUUCCUUGCAUUUUUAUGCAUAGUAUCAACCAAACUAUUGAGUGAGGUUAUAUUUAUAUUUUGUCUCAAUAGGAUUCUGUGUUUGGUGGUAUAUAUUUUGAUGUUUGUUUUAUAUUCUCAGUGAAGAUGAGUAAUCUUUGCUCUUCAUAUUUCAAUUUGGUGAAGGUGUUUGAUCUCCAAUAAUCAUCUAAGGAACAUAACUUGAGCAAAUGGAGCAGGCAUAUAUUAAGGCGUUUCAAUCCAUGAAGUAUGUAUUAGGUUCAUAAUCCAUUCCUCUCUAAACUGAUUCAAAUAUCUUUUGCAAAUGUAUAAUUUAAUAUACAAUUUUAAAAUACAUUACAUUCAAUUCAAACGGUUUAUCUUCUGUCUCUGUACAAUUAAUAGUCUUGAAAUGCAACGAAACACAUGUAAUAAUCCAUUUGAGAUGCAUGUUCCUGGUAAGGUAAGAUACUGUUAU